UUCCGGUUGAUCCUGCCGGAGGUUACUGCUAUCGGUGUUCGCCUAAGCCAUGCGAGUCAUAUGUAGCAAUACAUGGCGUACUGCUCAGUAACACGUGGAUAACCUGCCCUUGGGUCCGGCAUAACCCCGGGAAACUGGGGAUAAUUCCGGAUAACGCACAUAUGCUGGAAUGCUUUAUGCGUCAAAUGGAUUCGUCUGCCCAAGGAUGGGUCUGCGGCCUAUCAGGUAGUAGUGGGUGUAAUGUACCUACUAGCCGACAACGGGUACGGGUUGUGAGAGCAAGAGCCCGGAGAUGGAUUCUGAGACAUGAAUCCAGGCCCUACGGGGCGCAGCAGGCGCGAAAACUUUACAAUGCGGGAAACCGUGAUAAGGGGACACCGAGUGUCAGCAUCAUAUGCUGGCUGUCCAGGUGUGUAAAAUACACCUGUUAGCAAGGGCCGGGCAAGACCGGUGCCAGCCGCCGCGGUAACACCGGCGGCCCGAGUGGUGAUCGUGAUUAUUGGGUCUAAAGGGUCCGUAGCCGGUUUGGUCAGUCCUCCGGGAAAUCUGAUAGCUCAACUAUUAGGCUAUCGGGGGAUACUGCCAGGCUUGGAACCGGGAGAGGUAAGAGGUACUACAGGGGUAGGAGUGAAAUCUUGUAAUCCCUGUGGGACCACCUGUGGCGAAGGCGUCUUACCAGAACGGGUUCGACGGUGAGGGACGAAAGCUGGGGGCACGAACCGGAUUAGAUACCCGGGUAGUCCCAGCCGUAAACGAUGCUCGCUAGGUGUCAGGCAUGGCGCGACCGUGUCUGGUGCCGCAGGGAA
RNAcentral lists this ribosomal RNA (806 nucleotides) under uncultured Methanosarcina sp. RNAcentral's name for it is "bacterial SSU rRNA". It matches the Rfam family "Archaeal small subunit ribosomal RNA", at positions 1 to 810 of the family's 1478-position model. Lineage: Archaea; Methanobacteriati; Methanobacteriota; Methanomicrobia; Methanosarcinales; Methanosarcinaceae. The record is from RNAcentral.